UGUGAUGGGAGACAGUGUCAGAAGCCUUGCAAGUCAUAAUCUACAACAAGGAAGAAAGUCACAGACAAGAAGUAAAAUUCUAAACAUAAGGCUGCCUGAGUCCUGUCCUGAAACUCCUUCAGCUUUCCAGAUACAGAAACAUUAACCACAAGGACAGAAGUUAAAGAAUGGUUUUGCUCUAUGUGAAGAAAAUUACUGCCUCUGUUGGUUGCAGUUGGAGGGGUCCUGGCCGAGGAAAGGAAGACUAGAAAUUUUGAGAGCAUUAAAAUGAUGUUUCAGAAUGACAAAAGGAAGUGAUCACUGGUGUACAUCAGGCUGACUUAACCACAGGCUUCACUGGCAGCGUGCAAAAGAGGUUUUGUAAAUGUAACGUUAAGAAUAAAUGGCGGUUAUUCUCCAUUCAUCUGUUUGCUGCGAGCAAGACAGAAUAAGCAAAAGCAACAGAAGGAUCACCAGACGCCGAAAGCCGAUGUGGUUGAAACUGAACCUGCAGAAGCCGGAGCAGAAAUGCAGAUCACAACUGUCUAGUGUUCAUGAAGUCAUCAGAUUCUGUGCAUGAGGCGUGAGGUUUUCAGAAAAUGGAGGAAAAAAGGUUAAAUCCGUCCAUUGUGCAAAGGGUUGUGAAAGUGGAGAGAGAGAGAUUUUCAAUGGCAUAAAUUGGGACUGGACAGCCAUUCUCUGCGUCUUGGAAUAUCUGUCAUUAACAGCUAAACAGGAAAGGUGAGGAAGAAGACUUUUACACAAGCAUCUGUGACACUUCACCCCGUACUUUGUCCUGAGAUUCGUGUUGGAUAUUGGAAAGUGUUUCACAGCCUGCAGUAUGUAACAGUAUAUGGAAGAGCUGUUCUGUGGAUUCUUCUUGAUUAGACAUCCAGGAUGGCUGCCGGUGACUGCAAGGAACUACAUGCAGUGAUCUAUAUGCUCCAUUUCAGUGCUUAUUUCUAUAAAGAUAAUACAGAUAUCUUGCCAAGCAAUUCUUUGUUAGUAGAUAUCAGCUAAUGAGGGAAGAAACAUCUAAGGGGGACAUACUACAAUAACUGUUUUGCCACUCUCUAAUUCCGGAUGGCUUGUACUUCUGAGGCCUAUUGUUAGAACCAGCUUUCUGCUGCCAGUGUGUCCUGCUUGAGAGCCACCUGCUUUUGGAGCACUGUCCUGGGAGCUGAGAGAUGUGCAGCAGAGAACUGAACCUUUUCCCGCUUUUGUGAGUGGUGCUUUAGCAGUGUCUGUUUUAGGUGAUUAAAUAAAGAUUAUCUGGGGCCAUAAUUAGGGAGGAAAACUACUGAAUCCUGAAUGGGUGUAUAAGAGAUCUUUAGUCAUCCAAAGUGGCCCCUUAAAGGGCCGAUCUGAAAUAACCUGAAGUUGCCGUUCAUUUCUCAAGCUGGAGGAUAUUGAGGAAAAGAUUUCAGAGUAGCAUGCGUGUGGAAGAAAGGAGGAGGGAAGUGUCACAUGCAAAAACAGGAUGCAACAAGUGAAGCACACAGAUAGCAUGGGAGAGAAAAUGUGAAAAGCAAUUCCUGAUUUGUGGAACCGAUUUGCAGCUGAAAUGAACCGUCCUAAGGAGGAAUGGCGUAGGGAUGCUUUUGUAUUUCCAGAAUGUGGUACCUUUCAUUAAAAAAGGAAGUCCUUAUAUAUGUACACUGAACAUUAUCAAGAACAUUAUGUGAAAUUUUUAAAAAAAUAUAUCAAGAUGUUGUUGUCUCUUAGAUCCAAGGAAACCAGGGCUACCAAACUGGCAGAGACUCUACUGUUCUUCAAGAGAUAUUGGACUUAGACAGAAGCGAAAGGACCUUUUUCUUUUCCUCUGACAGGACAACUGGAUCGGUGAAUGAAGGUGGCAAAGUACUGAAGAACAGGAUUGACCUUCAACCAAAUAUUUAAGAAUAUAUGCAGACCGUGAUGUGCUCCAAGCUGCAUGAUUCAAUGGGAAGGAAGCACACCACUAUAGGAGGUCAUCAAGAAAGUAAGAUAAAACAGCACUCUGAAAGGAACAGCAGCAGGACAUCACUGAAAAUAUUAUCAAAGAAAGAAAACGGUUUUCUUAAAGGGCAGCACUCUCCAUGGCAGAGGUAACAUACAUGGUGUUUUCUCCCUGUGAAAGUACUUAGAAACUACUUGAAUGACCACUACUGGUGACUGUGGUAGGGAAAAAAAGCAGCUUGGCCUCUCACCAUCAGGAGUUAUUUUGCUGUAUUCACCACAAAACGGACCUAAUUGCCACCAAUGUAUUUGAUCUGGAGCUGACUUGUCAAACAGACUAAGCCAUCAGCAGUUUGAAUUGACCUCAAGAGACGAGAGAAACUUUUGCAGAUUGAAGUUUGAAUUAGCUUGUACUAGGCAUAACACUUUGAGUGACACGAGGCUGGCCAAAGACUAAGGGAAAACUUCAAGCCAGAUAUAUGUGUUCAAGAGCUCUAACUCUGCAGUGAAAGAAGAGGACAGAGUGCUUAUUGAUUCGUGUUACAGAAGCGCAGGAUGUUAUUGGCUUACCCCAUGUUCAGUGUUAUCUAAGGACAAUCAACUCUCAAGUUAAGUUACAGCAGCCUCCAGUGCCUGAUGCUGUUUCUAACCAUUGGAGGCAAAACAAGGUAUAGAAUAUGCAGUAAUCUGGGUAUUUCAAAAAGUUGGAUUUGUGGAUAUUUUAAUACCAGAAGUUGCCAGCUCUCAUGAAGAUUCAUGAAAGGGAUGAGCACGUGCUCAUGAAAACACUGGCAUAUUUGUUGAAAUAUGCCUGCGUCCAGUUUCUUGAUAGUUACUGUUUUGUCUCUUAUUCAGGGUAGAAGGGGAAAAAAAUCUUGGGCUGCUUUACGUUUAGUGCCAUUCAGAUCGAUGUAGUGUUUUUUUACAGUCUAAUAGCCAUUAAUCCCCUAGUUGCUCACCUUAGUCCAUAUGUAAAAGUAAUUGAAAUCAGUGGUUUUAAUUCAAAAACUUCAAUAAGCUUUUAAUCAAGCUCUUUGGUUAGUUCUUUCAUAAUGGUCAAUGAUGUGUGUAUUUUUUUAUAUUUGACCCUUUAAUGUCUUCUGACUUCUACUAUUGUUGAAGCUUCUGUGAGCCUGAAUGAAGUCUGAGACUGAAAAGACAGUCGACGGUAUCUGAAUUGUAAUAGUCAAAAAAAAUCUUCCAGAUCUCUUAAUAGCUCUUUUGAAAUGUGGAGAACAACUCCCAUGGAAGAUUCUACACAUCUGGUUAGUAAGAUCAAUCUGACAGUAACUACUAGUUAUGAAAACGCUAGUAAGCAUUUCUAUGAGUACCAUUCUAGUCCUUUCUGUUUUAUCUUCGAUUGGCUUGUCUCUGCUCUUUCACAUUUGUAUGUAAAAUGUCAAGCAUGGUAUCAUUAAAAAGUAGAAAAAACUCUCACAAAUACCUCUUAGAAAAAUACUUUCUGAUAUAAACUAUCUUGAUCUUGAUUUCUUUCAGCGUUUAUUUCCUAACUUGAAUAUAGUGGAGUAAGUAUUGCAAAUUCGAUUCACACAGUUCAUCGAAAAUCACUGGAUUUGGUGAGGAUAAUAUUAAAUCCAAUGACAUUCUUCUCCUUAAUGAUAGAGCAAUACAUAGUCAUUAAAAUCCAGGUUAUGUAAUUGUUGGGUUGCAGCCAGAACGUAUGAAGCCAUCACCUUGCCAUCUAUGGCAUCUGUGAUGCUUUGCUACUGUUCAUGAUGGAAUUCAGUGUAUUGCUGUCUUCUAGUAAUGUGGUAUAAAUACACUCCUCACUUGCGCUGUGGUUUUGAAUAGGUAUAUACUAGAAAGUUGCAUUGAUGGAACCAGAGCCAUCUGUAUUAUAAUCUUCAUUUGACAGUUUCUUCAUCUUCUAGUUGGAGGAAGUAUUAUAUAGCAUUUGUUGUCCUAGGUAUCCUUCACAGAAAUGAAUAGUUAAACUAUGAGUUAAGGAAAUAUUACACCUUAUUAGCAUUGUACUGUUAGUAGUGAACCAACAUUUUAGUUUGUUCCCUUGUUUAAGCUGACUUCUUGAUCUCUUGACACAACUGGGAGGGGAAAAGGUACAGGCCACUAAAGAACAUUUCAUAAACUCAACACCCACAAAACACAACUGGCAUAUAUCAGUAUUAUUUCCAUGCUUUAAGACUUACAGCAAGCUGGGCAGGGAGGACAGUGGAAGCAAGUGGUUUAGCUGACUGACCACAGUAGGAAAUUUCAGAGGGCCAUAGCGAUCCCAGAACGGUACCUGUUCUUCAGAAACACAGCAAAUGCUCA
This is a non-coding RNA of Struthio camelus australis, 4209 nucleotides long. Lineage: Eukaryota; Metazoa; Chordata; Aves; Struthioniformes; Struthionidae. The record is from RefSeq and is a predicted model, not a curated record.